GCCGAUAUAGCUUAGUUGGUAGAGCAGCGCAUUCGUAAAGCGAAGAUCAUAGGUUCGAAUCCUAUUAUCGGCA
This 73-nucleotide transfer RNA is filed under the name Candidatus Palibaumannia cicadellinicola. RNAcentral's name for it is "Candidatus Baumannia cicadellinicola tRNA". It matches the Rfam family "tRNA". From Rfam's summary of the family: Transfer RNA (tRNA) molecules are approximately 80 nucleotides in length. Their secondary structure includes four short double-helical elements and three loops (D, anti-codon, and T loops). The record is from Rfam by way of RNAcentral. Lineage: Bacteria; Pseudomonadati; Pseudomonadota; Gammaproteobacteria.